UAAAUAGCCGCAAUUAGUGCUAAGGUAGCAUAAUCAUUUGNNNNNNNNAAUAAAGACUAGAACAAAAGAUUUAACAUUUUUAUUUAUAUUUCCUUACUAAUAAUCCAAAUUUUACAAAAUGUAAUAAGACAUUUAUUAAUAAAAUAGACGACAAGACCCUAUUGAACUUAACUUAAGUUUUACUGGGGUAGUAAGUUAAUUAUAAUUUUAAGUUAAAAAAUUUAACAAAUAUCCAAUUAAUUGAUAAUUCAGUUACCAUAGGGAUAACAGCGCAAUUAUAUUUUAAAGCACUUAUAUAAAAUAUAUAUUACGACCUCGAUGUUGAAUUAAUAACCUGAUUUAAGUAAAUUUCAAUAAAGGAAGUCUGUUCGACUUUUAAAAAAUUACAUGAUUUGAGUUCAGACCGGUGUAAGCCAGGUCGGUUUCAAUCUUUUACAAAAAUUUUUGUAGUACGAAAGGACCUAAUAAUUUAAUAUUAUUAACUAUUUAGCAAAUAAAUGCAUUAAAUUUAGAAUUUAAAAAAACU
This 526-nucleotide ribosomal RNA is filed under the name Thorelliola joannae. Its description in RNAcentral is "partial 16S ribosomal RNA". The stretch from base 142 to 434 matches the Rfam family "Bacterial large subunit ribosomal RNA", at positions 2074 to 2646 of the family's 2925-position model. The record is from RNAcentral. Lineage: Eukaryota; Metazoa; Arthropoda; Arachnida; Araneae; Salticidae.